UCUUGUGUGAAAAACUCCGGUGGUACAGGAUGGGCCCGCGUCUGAUUAGGUAGUUGGUGGGGCAGCGGCCUACCAAGCCGACGAUCAGUAGCCGACCUGAGAGGGUGACCGGCCACAUUGGGACUGAGACACGGCCCAAACUCCUACGGGAGGCAGCAGUGGGGAAUAUUGCACAAUGGGGGAAACCCUGAUGCAGCGACGCCGCGUGAAGGAAGAAGUAUUUCGGUAUGUAAACUUCUAUCAGCAGGGAAGAAACUGACGGUACCUGACUAAGAAGCACCGGCUAAAUACGUGCCAGCAGCCGCGGUAAUACGUAUGGUGCAAGCGUUAUCCGGAUUUACUGGGUGUAAAGGGAGCGUAGACGGAGAGGCAAGUCUGAAGUGAAAGCCCGGGGCUCAACCCCGGGACUGCUUUGGAAACUGCAGUUCUAGAGUGCCGGAGAGGUAAGCGGAAUUCCUAGUGUAGCGGUGAAAUGCGUAGAUAUUAGGAGGAACACCAGUGGCGAAGGCGGCUUACUGGACGGUGACUGACGUUGAGGCUCGAAAGCGUGGGGAGCAAACAGGAUUAGAUACCCUGGUAGUCCACGCCGUAAACGAUGACUACUAGGUGUCGGUGAGCAAAGCUCAUCGGUGCCGCAGCCAACGCAAUAAGU
RNAcentral lists this ribosomal RNA (652 nucleotides) under uncultured bacterium. RNAcentral's name for it is "bacterial SSU rRNA". It matches the Rfam family "Bacterial small subunit ribosomal RNA", at positions 193 to 865 of the family's 1533-position model. The record is from RNAcentral.